GCCUUAUUGGCAGUCUCGCGGUUGCUGGUCCUCACCGAGGACAUGUGCACGCUUGUUGUUAUUUUUCCAACUGUGCACAUAUUGUAGACCUGGGAAGUCUUUUAUUGUUGGGAUAGAUUGAGGACUGCCAAUGCGGCUUUGCCUUGUAUUUCCAGGUCUAUGUUGUAAUACAAACGAAUGAAUGUUGAGUACUGGGGAAUAUGAAAUAAUAAUACAACUUUCAGCAACGGAUCUCUUGGCUCUCGCAUCGAUGAAGAACGCAGCGAAAUGCGAUAAGUAAUGUGAAUUGCAGAAUUCAGUGAAUCAUCGAAUCUUUGAACGCAUCUUGCGCUCCUUGGUAUUCCGAGGAGCAUGCCUGUUUGAGUGUCAUUAAAAGUUCUCAACCACUCUGGUUCUUUCCGGUGUGGCUUGGAUUUGAGGGGUUUUGCAGGCUUUUGAACUGAAGUCGGCUCCCUUGAAAAGGAUUAGUGGUGUCUGAGCAGAAGCCGCCAUGGGUAUGAUAAUUAUCUAUGCCUUGGUGGAAUGCCUGACCACAAAAAAGUGUUGUGUUUUGACGAAUUUGACCUCAAAUCAGGUAGGACUACCCGCUGAACUUAAGCAUAUCAAUAAGCGGAGGAAAAGAAACUAACGAGGAUUCCCCUAGUAACUGCGAGUGAAGCGGGAAAAGCUCAAAUUUGAAAUCUGGCGGUCUUUGUGGCUGUCCGAGUUGUAAUCUAGAGAAGUGCUUACCUGUGCUGGACCGUGUCAAGGUCUCCUGAA
RNAcentral lists this ribosomal RNA (759 nucleotides) under uncultured Inocybe. RNAcentral's name for it is "eukaryotic LSU rRNA". The stretch from base 216 to 369 matches the Rfam family "5.8S ribosomal RNA". The record is from RNAcentral. Lineage: Eukaryota; Fungi; Basidiomycota; Agaricomycetes; Agaricales; Cortinariaceae.